This 296-nucleotide ribosomal RNA is filed under the name uncultured bacterium. Its description in RNAcentral is "partial 16S ribosomal RNA". It matches the Rfam family "Bacterial small subunit ribosomal RNA", at positions 28 to 334 of the family's 1533-position model. The record is from RNAcentral.
GAUGAACGCUGGCGGUGCGCCUAAUACAUGCAAGUCGAGCGAGAAAUUGACUGAGUUUACUUAGUUAAUAGAAAGCGGCGGACGAGCGAGUAACACGUAAGUAGCCACCCUGUACUCGGGGAUAACGGUCUGAAAGGAUCGCUAAUACCGGAUGGUCUCGUAAGAGUAAAGAUUUAUCGGUACAGGAGGUGCUUGCGGCUUAUCAGUUUGUUGGUAGUGUAAAAGACUACCAAGGCGAUGACGAGUAGCUGGUGUGAGGGCAUGACCAGCCGCGAUGGGACUGAGACACGGCCCAU